RNAcentral lists this ribosomal RNA (301 nucleotides) under uncultured bacterium. Its description in RNAcentral is "partial 16S ribosomal RNA". It matches the Rfam family "Bacterial small subunit ribosomal RNA", at positions 509 to 807 of the family's 1533-position model. The record is from RNAcentral.
CAGCAGCCGCGGUAAUACGAGGGGCGCAAGCGUUAUUCGGAUUGAUUGGGUGUAAAGGGUGUGCAGACGGCUUAUUAAGUCACUUGUUAAAUUCUUCGGCCUAACUGAAGGUCUGCAAGUGAUACUGAUGAGCUAGAGGGUGGAAGAGAGAAGUGGGAUUCUCGGAGUAGCGGUAAAAUGCGUAGAUCUCGAGAGGAGCACCAAUGGCGAAGGCAGUUUCUUGGUCCAUUCCUGACGUUCAUACACGAAAGCGUGGGGAGCAAACAGGAUUAGAUACCCGGGUAGUCCCUGUCUCUUAUAC